Molecule: long non-coding RNA, 639 nt
Organism: Lotus japonicus
Lineage: Eukaryota; Viridiplantae; Streptophyta; Magnoliopsida; Fabales; Fabaceae
Exons: 3
Source: RefSeq, a predicted model, not a curated record
ACCCCACUCCCAAUACCAUUCUUAAUUCCUAAUUAUAUAUUAAAACCCUAUGUUUUUCUCUCCCUCUCUCAUCUUUUUCCUUUUUCUCUGGUUCAACUUCUUUUCUCGGCAUCAGCGAUUCUUCUCUUCUCCUCUACAUCCUUUUCUUCUUUAGUUAAGAACCACACAAUACCACCAUAAAGUUACAUGCUAGUGAAGAUAAAAUCUAUCAUUCAAGUGAGAGUCUCUUGCGUUCUCUUUUGGGAGCCACGGUUGGUGCUUUGAUGAAGGAGAAUGGUACCAAGCCCUUCAUGAUUCCUCUUUUAAAUUAAUUGAGAUCUGUCGGUUAGUGGUUCGUUUGGUUGUCGCGCAGUUGUGGAGAGCAAUCAUGUUGGUUCUUCGUAACAGAAACUGAGUACCAGUAUGUUAUCAGAUUCAGAUCGUUCUGCUUAUAUUGUUUAUAGGCCUCAUUUGGAAGGUUGUCAUAUUUGUGUCUGUUGUUGAUCUGUCAUUCUGCAGCUAUAGGGGAGUCUUUGGGGGAAUUCAGUUUGAAUUGUUAUUUAUUGUUCUAAUUUAAGGAUUUGCACUUUAGUGCUGGAUUUGAAAUUUAUGUAUUCUUGAAAUUCUAGUUACGAAUGGAGAUGGUGAUAUUACAUAAAA